UUAAAAUGUAAAUGAGUUUACUAAAGUAGUAUUAGUUAUGUUCUUCAAACUUAAAAAAUUUGGCGGUAUUUUAGUCUAUUCAGAGGAAUCUGUUCUAUAAUCGAUAAUCCGCGUUGGACCUUUCUUGAGUUUGUUUUUCAGUUUAUAUACCGUCGUUAUAAGAAUAUUUUAUAAGAAUAAUAAUUUUCUUGAUAUUUAAUUAAAUAGUAUAUCAGAUCAAGGUGUAGCUUAUAUUUAAGUAGAAAUGGAUUACAUUAAAUUUAUUUAGUUGGAUAUAAUUAUGAAAAAAUUAUUGAAAUUGGAUUUGAUAGUAAAUUUAUAUAGAUUGAUAAAUUGAUUUUAGCUCUAAAAUAUGU
Molecule: ribosomal RNA, 356 nt
Filed under: Chyliza scrobiculata
Lineage: Eukaryota; Metazoa; Arthropoda; Insecta; Diptera; Psilidae
Description: partial 12S ribosomal RNA
Source: RNAcentral